AAUACAGUACACGCGCGGAUCAUCUACAACUUCAGCUUCACACACACACACGCUGACACUGCUCCAGUCGUCCUAUUUAGCGCUCAGAAACCAAAACCACCCGACAAAAACUCUCUUCUCUCCCUCUAAGAAUACUUAAGAAAUGGCAUCACCGACAACAAGAGUGACAUUUCGGCUAGUGGUGGCGAUUCUAGUAGUGACGCUCGUCCUCUUCUACGCCGGCCGCCCUCUCUACUGGAAAAUCUCCGCCACUGUUCAAGAGAUCCGCGAGAACAAACGCACCGUCAAACAAGGCAUUUCUCAGUUUGUUUACGAAGCGCAGAAAUCGGUUGGCUGGUUUCACGACGAGUCCGAUUCUGGAGCCCGCGAGAACAGGAGAGCGAGUUUUUGGAGAGAAUAAACUUGAGGAUUGUGAUUGGAACAGUAGAAAAUGUUGCAGAUAAAUCUUUGGGUAGUUGUAGUAUUGAUUCUUGGACUUGUUAGAGGUAACUUGCACACUGUGGAGGGAAAGCCACGCCGGAUUCUUUUGGAUACAGAUGUCGAUACUGAUGAUUUCUUUGCUCUUUUGUACCUCGAAGCUUAACAGAUCAGAAUUUGAAUUGGAGGGCAUGCCGUGAGCCAAAUCUAUGACAUGCUUUACAUGAUGGGUCGCGACGAUGUAUCUGUUGGAAUGGGAGGUGAAGGUGGAAUAACAGAAGAUGGUCGGUCACAUACUUCCAGGUGCAUUCAAGAACACUGAGAUGAUAUAUCCAUCAAAGAGUUACGGAAUUUCUAGAGAUUCAGCCCCUAGAGACUAGCUAGCCUUCCUUGGCUUGGGUGGAUUGCUUUGAAUUUGAAUAGAGAUGCUUUCUCUGGUUCACUGAGGUAGUUCGACUAGCUGGAACGUAGCGAAGGUUCAGUUUGCUCUUCCAGAGAAGGAAGCUGAAUUUUGAUUAGUCGUCCUAUCGUAAUAAAAUGAAUUUAAUAAGUAGUAGAUCCCGAGUGCCACCGAUAUAGCUCUUGGAGGGCUAGUAGAAGUUGUUCACUCGGUUC
Molecule: RNA transcript, 1032 nt
Organism: Populus trichocarpa (black cottonwood)
Lineage: Eukaryota; Viridiplantae; Streptophyta; Magnoliopsida; Malpighiales; Salicaceae
Exons: 4
Source: RefSeq, a predicted model, not a curated record